CCGCAGGCUGGGGAGACGCUAGUAGCUGAGGGGAACGGCGGCGCGCGGGCGGUUGGGCCAUCUCAGGCUUUCUGCCGAUCAACCUGUGCUUGGCGUCCUCAGAUGCUGCGAGCUGAAGGUAGUCAUGGCCGGGACUCCCGCACCGAACAGCCACAGGAAGCAGAGUGGCGGCCUGGAGCCUUUCCUCGGUCUGUCUCGGUCCAUCGAGAACCCUCCGAGCAAGCGGGCCCGGAGCUUCUCUGAGACCACAGUUCCGGACCCCGAAGACCCAUUCGGCGAGCACGCGGAAUUUACUGCGGACGACCUAGAGGAACUCGACAUCCUCGCGUCACAGGCCCUGAGCCAGUGUCCGGUCGCGCCUCCGAACCUGUCCUGUGCUCAUAAGGUCCGUCGAUUAGAUGGGUUACCAAAUAGUCCUGUAAGGAAAAACAGAGAAGAUAUUCCAGUUAAAGAUAACUUUGAAUUAGAAGUACUUCAGAUACAGUACAGAGAACUUAAAGAAAAGCUGAAAGCAAUGGAAGAAGAAAUCCUAAUUAAGAAUGGAGAAAUUAAAAUUUUGCGUGACUCACUGCAUCAGACAGAAUCCGUUCUAGAAGAACAGAAAAGAUCACAUUUUCUUCUUGAGCAAGAAAAGACUCAAGCACUCAGUGAAAAGGAAAAGGAAUUCUCCAAAAAGCUCCAAUCACUGCAGUCUGAACUCCAGUUUAAAGAUGCAGAAAUGAAUGAAUUAAGGACAAAGCUUCAGAGCAACGAACGAACAAAUAAACUAACCAUUCCGUCAGUCUCCCAAAUCAGUCCUAGGAAAGGCUCUUCUGUGGUUGUAAAGUCAGAAGCAUGUUCUCCACAUGUUGGAAAAACAACUUUCCCUACAAAGGAGUCUUUUAGUGCUAACACGCCUCUCUUCCACCCCUGUCAGACUGAGGCAGGACACAAAUUUCUGGUGGGCCAAGAGGUUUCGGAUAAUAAAGCCCAUGUGGGAGGUAACCUCCUGAAGCAAGACGUGCAGCAGAAAAUUCUCGCUGACAGCUGGGUACAGAGAAAAAACACUCAAGGUUCUAUCUUGAUAAACUUGCUCCUGAAGCAACCUUUGGUGCCAGGGUCAUCUCUAGGUCUUUGUCACCUUCUGAGCAGUGGAGCUGAGGUUCCCACUGGCCCCGUCUUGCAGCCAGCAGGGCUCAGUACUUUGCCUGGGACUUCAGGCCUCAGGACCGUCAGCUCUUCUGAUGGGCCAUUUUCCCCCUCUGCCUUGAGAGAAGCACAGAACUUGGCAUUCACUGGAUUAAAUCUGGUUGCCAGGAGUGAGAGCUCACAUGAUGGAGAUGUAGCAGGCAGAAGAGUCUUCCCGCUCUGCCAGCUUCCUGGAGCUGUACAUCUCCUCCCUCUUGUACAGUUCUUCAUUGGCUUACACUGCCAGCUUCUACAAGACUUAACCCCAGCUAAGAAGAGCGGGGCACCUGGGGCCUCUCCGACAGACACCUCCCACAUGAGCUCUGGGGUAGAGGCUAGCCCAGAGGACUCCAUUUGUAGCUUGGAAAGUACUUCUGUGGCUUCGCUCAGCGUCCUUCAGCACUUGGUGUGCCACAGUGGGGCAGUGGUCUGCCUGUUACUGUCAGGCAUGGGGACCAAUGCUGCUGCCCGGGAAGGAGACUUAAGUCAGACUUGUGCAGAUACAGUCUCAGCCUCCAGGGAAGACGCUCAUGGCCAAAACCAGCACCCACUAUUGAAGAUGCUUCUUCAGCUGAUGGCGUUCUCUUCUACAACAUCAGGUCAAUUUCAAGCCAGUGUCCUGAGCCAGUGCCUCAAAGUUUUGGUGAAGUUAGCUGAAAACGCUUCCUCUGAUUUGUUGCCCAGGUUCUCCUGCGUGUUCCCGAUGUUGCCACAGUGCCUCUGCUCAGAGCUGCCACUGUCGUGUGUGCUGCUGGCUGUCCAGCUGCUCUCUGUUCUGGUGGACCAGGACAGCCUAGCACAGCAGCUGUGCUCCCACUCAGAAGGCUGCCCUCUCCUGAGGCUGUACACGUACAUCACGUCAAGGCCUGACAAGACGGCCUCAGAGACACAGUGGCUUCAGCUGGAACAAGAGAUGCAAUACAAGUGCAUCCUGGGUUGCAGUGGUGCUCAGCAGAGUUGCCUGAUUAUGCUGCCUGGGUUUUGGGGCCUGAUCCUGGUCCUGGAAGCAGUGAGCUGUUGGUGAGAUUCAGGUCUGAGAGCCUGAGACUACCAUUACUUGUACCCCACUUGUGUAGGCAAGCAGUUGAAGUAGCUAGAGCACCUUAGGAAUGCCCGCAGAAGCCUAUGAUGACUGGGUUCCACACACGGUGAACACCAUGUCUUCUUGUUCCAGGUAGUGUGGCUCUUGGCCAAGCUGAGUGUGCAGAGCCCUUCCCCCGCUGGCAUUGUUUCUGACUGUCAGUGCAAUGUAGAGGCAGUCAGAGCACUCACUGUGAUGUUGCACAGGCAAUGGCUGACUGUGCGGCGGGCAGGGGGUCCAAGGACCCACCAGCAGAAGCAGACUGUCCGCUGUCUGCGGGACACUGUGCUGCUGCUGCACAGCCUAUCUCAGAAGGACAAGCUCUUUACUGUGCACUGUGUCGAGGUCCUGCAUCAGUAUGACCAGGUGAUGCCAGGGGUCAGCAUGCUGAUUCGAGCCCUUCCUGAUGUGACCGACUGUGAAGAGGCUGCCCUGGAUGACCUCUGUGCUGCAGAGACAGAUUUGGAAGACGCCGAGAUGGACUGUAGCUGAGGGCCUGAGCAUCCAGCCACAAGGUGGCACCAGCCCCACCGUCUUUGCCACAUCCACUGAUUAAAACUGCACUUCCUGCUGAGAACCGG
This is an RNA transcript of Rattus rattus (black rat), 2829 nucleotides long. It is a transcript of the gene named ATR interacting protein, with no coding region annotated. The transcript has 13 exons. The record is from RefSeq and is a predicted model, not a curated record. Lineage: Eukaryota; Metazoa; Chordata; Mammalia; Rodentia; Muridae.